Molecule: ribosomal RNA, 697 nt
Filed under: uncultured bacterium
Lineage: Bacteria
Description: bacterial SSU rRNA
Rfam family: Bacterial small subunit ribosomal RNA
Source: RNAcentral
ACGGGUGAGUAACGCGUAGGUAACCUGCCUGGUAGCGGGGGAUAACUAUUGGAAACGAUAGCUAAUACCGCAUAACAGUAGAUAUUGCAUGAUAUCUGCUUGAAAGGUGCAAUUGCAUCACUACCAGAUGGACCUGCGUUGUAUUAGCUAGUUGGUGAGGUAACGGCUCACCAAGGCGACGAUACAUAGCCGACCUGAGAGGGUGAUCGGCCACACUGGGACUGAGACACGGCCCAGACUCCUACGGGAGGCAGCAGUAGGGAAUCUUCCGCAAUGGGCGAAAGCCUGACGGAGCAACGCCGCGUGAGUGAAGAAGGAUUUCGGUUCGUAAAGCUCUGUUGUUAGGGAAGAAUGAUUGUGUAGUAACUAUACACAGUAGAGACGGUACCUAACCAGAAAGCCACGGCUAACUACGUGCCAGCAGCCGCGGUAAUACGUAGGUGGCAAGCGUUGUCCGGAAUCAUUGGGCGUAAAGGGAGCGCAGGCGGGCAUGUAAGUCUUUCUUAAAAGUGCGGGGCUCAACCCCGUGAUGGGAAAGAAACUACAUGUCUUGAGUACAGGAGAGGAAAGCGGAAUUCCCAGUGUAGCGGUGAAAUGCGUAGAUAUUGGGAGGAACACCAGUGGCGAAGGCGGCUUUUUGGCCUGUAACUGACACUGAGGCGCGAAAGCGUGGGGAGCAAACAGGAUUAGAUACCCU